GUGCAGUGUAGAAUGUCUUUUGCGAUUGUACGCAAUCAAUACAACUUUCAACAACGGAUCUCUUGGCUCUCGCAUCGAUGAAGGACGCAGCGAAAUGCGAUACGUAAUGUGAAUUGCAGAAUUCAGUGAAUCAUCGAAUCUUUGAACGCACCUUGCGCCCCUUGGCAUUCCGAGGGGCACACCCGUUUGAGUGUCGUGAAUUUCUCAACCUCCUGCUGUUUCUUGAUAGCAGGAGGCUUGGACUUUGGAGGCGCUUGCUGGCCUCUCUUCAGAAGCCAGCUCCUCUUAAAUGGAUUAGCAGGGUCUGCCUUUGGCCGAUCCUCGACGUGAUAAGCUGCUUCUACGUCUUGGAUUCGGCUCCGCCUCAUUCUUUUGAGACCUGCUUCUAAUCGUCUCGGUUGCCCUUCGGGGUGGACUUUGACCCACGAACCCUUUGACCUCAAAUCGGGUGAGACUACCCGCUGAACUUAAGCAUAUCAAUAAG
RNAcentral lists this ribosomal RNA (484 nucleotides) under uncultured Russulaceae. Its description in RNAcentral is "eukaryotic LSU rRNA". The stretch from base 43 to 196 matches the Rfam family "5.8S ribosomal RNA". The record is from RNAcentral. Lineage: Eukaryota; Fungi; Basidiomycota; Agaricomycetes; Russulales; Russulaceae.